This 389-nucleotide ribosomal RNA is filed under the name uncultured bacterium. RNAcentral describes it as "bacterial SSU rRNA". It matches the Rfam family "Bacterial small subunit ribosomal RNA", at positions 28 to 417 of the family's 1533-position model. The record is from RNAcentral.
GACGAACGCUGGCGGCGUGCUUAACACAUGCAAGUCGAGCGGUAAGGCCCUUUCGGGGGUACACGAGCGGCGAACGGGUGAGUAACACGUGGGUGACCUGCCCUCAGCUCUGGGAUAAGCCUGGGAAACCGGGUCUAAUACUGGAUAUGACUCCAUGACGCAUGUUGUGGGGUGGAAAGCCUUGUGCGGCUGAGGAUGGGCCCGCGGCCUAUCAGCUUGUUGGUGGGGUGANGGCCUACCAAGGCGACGACGGGUAGCCGGCCUGAGAGGGCGACCGGCCACACUGGGACUGAGACACGGCCCAGACUCCUACGGGAGGCAGCAGGUGGGGAAUAUUGGACAAUGGGCGCAAGCCUGAUCCAGCGAUGCCGCGUGUGUGAAGAAGGCCU